Molecule: ribosomal RNA, 771 nt
Filed under: uncultured eukaryote
Lineage: Eukaryota
Description: bacterial SSU rRNA
Rfam family: Eukaryotic small subunit ribosomal RNA
Source: RNAcentral
UAAAAUUACAUCAUUAUGUAAUUAAUUUUAUGUAAUGAAUGUUUUUAUCCUUUUACUUUGAAAAAAUUAGAGUGUUCAUAGCAGGCAAUAAUUUUAUGCUUUGAAUAUUUUAGCAUCGGAUAAUAGAAUAUGACUCUUUCUUCUAUUUUAUUGGUUUUUUAGAAGAAAAGGAAAAUGAGUUUUACUUAUUUUCUAGAGUAAUGAUAAAUAGAAAUAGUUGGGGGUGUUUAUAUUUCAUUGUCAGAGGUGAAAUUCUUGGAUUUAUGAAAGAUAAACUUGUGCGAAAGCAUUCAUCAAGAAUAUUUUCAUGUGACAAAGAACGAAAGUUAGAGGCUUGAAGAUGAUCAGAUACCGUCGUAAUUCUAACAGUAAACGAUGCCGACCAGGGAUUAGAGAGAGUGUCAAACGGAAAGUAACUUUAUGUUAUAUUCUAUAACUUCUUUAGAACCUUUGAGAGAAAUCAUUGAGUUUUUGGGUUCUGGGGGAAGUAUGGUCGCAAGGCUGAAACUUAAAAGAAUUGACGGAAGGGCACACCCGGAGUGGAGCCUGCGGUUUAAUUUGACUCAACACGGGGGAAACUCACCAGGUCCAGACAUAGUGAGGAUUGACAGAUUGAGAGCUCUUUCUUGAUUCUAUGGGUGGUGGUGCAUGGGCCGUUCUUAGUUGGUGGAUUGAUCUGUCUGGUUAAUUCCGAUAACGAACGAGACCCCAACCUGCUAAAUAGUGGUACAUAAUAAUGAAAUAUGGGUGAAAGGUAUUUUAGAAUAGAGG